GCCCAGCGCUGGCUAAGUGCAGGAGGGGAGGUUGCUGCUGUGUCGGUGGUGUCUCCCCUCAGGGGAAGGACACAGCUCCAGCUCCUGGGUCAAGCUGCUAGAAACAUGGUGAUGCAAGAAGAUGCCAUCCUGCACUCGGAAGAUAGUCUAAGGAAAAUGGCCAUAAUAACCACUCAUCUACAGUACCAGCAGGAAGCAAUUCAGAAGAAUGUCGAGCAAUCGUCAAACCUACAGGACCAGCUGAAUCACUUGCUAAAAUGAAGCACAGCCAAAAUCACAAGGACGUCUUGACCGCUGCCGAGGGCAGCCAGCGAUCUUUUCCCCUCCUGAGUCAGCUAUUCCGUCCUCUGGCUGGAUGGGGCUGAAUGUCAGCUGGGAUGUAUGCAGAGUGUGUUUCUGAGCGUUUGUGCCCCUCUCAUGUGUUCCCAUCCACAUCUCUAGAACGCGUGCCUGCUUGCCUGCAUCUAAUCAAAACAGACUUAGCGGGAACUCUCCUUCCCCCAACAAUUCCUCGGGCUCGUUUACUCUCUUUAUGUAGCGUGAAGUGCUCGAUCCACACCAGCACCCCAGGCACCCACGUCGUUCAGCUAGCGGAUCACUGGCCGUAUGUCUGAAAUGGUUGGCCAGCUCAGAAUCCAGCAUGUAAUACUCCUUCUGUCCAAGGUCUUAUGUCUUCCAUGACCAUAAUAGGAUGAUUUUCCUUCCUGUCUCUAACCUCUGCUCAGUUAGGAGCUGUCUCCUGUGAGAGGAUGGAAGCGAGGUCGUUAUGUCUGCCCAGGACUAGGAAUCAUAGAGCCAGGUUUUUCAGAUGCGUUUGUUCCCCCCACACUCCUUCCCCCUUCUGCCCCCCCCCAAAAUGCAGAAUAUAGAGCUGUGGGUUUUAAAUACAGGUGCCUGCAGUUUGACACUGGUCCUUACUGGGGCACAGAGAUGAUCCGUGCAAUUUAUUUAGGGCAUGUUAGUCAGUGGAAGCUGUAAGUGGGAGCUCUGGUGGGUGAGAGGCGCUUCAGCGCUGGCUGAGGUGCCAGUCCCAGGGCAGAAUUUUUAAAAGCAGGAAUCUGGGCACGCACCCUCUGUCAGUGGUGCAGCUGGAUACUGUUUGACGAGCAUCCUGCUCUGAGGUUAUCUUGUUUUCCACAAAGCCAGGGUUUGGAACGUCCUCCCCUUGCCAGCCCAUCUGCACUGCCUUUGGCCUUCAACUGCAUUCCUAUUCCUGGGUUGCUGCUCCAGCUCUCGAUUGAGCAGCCUUGGAUGUGUUCUGUGUUUGUAUGGGACCGGGAAGGUAUCCAAAGGCACAGCUGGGAAGCGGGUAGUGGGGGGAAAAAAGGCAAAAACAAACAAAAAAAAACCUGGAAGCCUAUAUAUUCACUUCUGAACUGUUGUGUGUAUGAGGAUUAGCAGCUGGGCUCCUGUUCACUUCCCAGGGAGCAAGAUUGGGUCCAGGCUAUAAAUAUUGUGUCUGGUUUUUGUAAGUCACUUAUCUGGAGCACUUGGAGCACACUGGAAGCACUUCACUGCCUGAGUGUGCUUUUCAUCAGCUGAUAUGACAAGGCAGAUGGAUAGCGGGAGAUCAGCCUGCCACGUUCCUGUUGUAGAUCUGCAGCGAAGUGCUGCAAGGUUUCUGUUCCCACAUGGCAGAGCGUUUUCUAGGGCUAGUUUUACUCUGGUUGCUAUCCCUUCCACUGCUGCUGCCUCUUUGAGCCUCACCUUGUGGCAUCCCAUCUCCUGUGUCCGCAUGAAGGUACCACUAUUGGCCCAGGCUAAUCUAAUCAACCCAGCAGUACUGUUAGCUUAUCCUCUGUGCUGUGCCUGUGCUCUAACAUGGACAUGCCAGAGGAGGGUGU
This is a non-coding RNA of Struthio camelus australis, 1844 nucleotides long. The record is from RefSeq and is a predicted model, not a curated record. Lineage: Eukaryota; Metazoa; Chordata; Aves; Struthioniformes; Struthionidae.